This is a non-coding RNA of Echria macrotheca, 114 nucleotides long. The record is from the annotation of a GenBank genome assembly. Lineage: Eukaryota; Fungi; Ascomycota; Sordariomycetes; Sordariales; Schizotheciaceae.
GGCAUUAUGGCCGAGCGGUCUAAGGCGCCAGACUCAAGGAUUUACCCUCCUUGCCCAGCAACGGGUAGCAUUCUGGUCUCGAAAGAGGCGUGAGUUCGAAUCUCACUGAUGUCA